UACAGAGGUCUCAAGCGUUGUUCGGAUUCAUUGGGCGUAAAGGGUGCGUAGGCGGCGCGGUAAGUCGGGUGUGAAAUCUCGGGGCUUAACUCCGAAACUGCAUUCGAUACUGCCGUGCUUGAGGACUGGAGAGGAGACUGGAAUUUACGGUGUAGCGGUGAAAUGCGUAGAUAUCAGGAAGAACACCCGUGGCUAAGGCGGCUCUCUAGUACGGUACUGACGCUGAGACGCGAAAGCGUGGGGAGCGAACAGG
This 253-nucleotide ribosomal RNA is filed under the name uncultured prokaryote. Its description in RNAcentral is "partial 16S ribosomal RNA". It matches the Rfam family "Bacterial small subunit ribosomal RNA", at positions 524 to 776 of the family's 1533-position model. The record is from RNAcentral.